Molecule: non-coding RNA, 21 nt
Filed under: Caenorhabditis elegans
Lineage: Eukaryota; Metazoa; Nematoda; Chromadorea; Rhabditida; Rhabditidae
Source: RNAcentral
UCUUCUUUUUAUUAAUUUUGA